AUCGAAAAGACCUUAUGCUUUUGGAGCGGCCGAUGUCUGAUUAGCUAGUUGGUAGGGUAAUGGCUUACCAAGGCGACGAUCAGUAGUUGGUCUGAGAGGACGACCAGCCACACUGGGACUGAGACACGGCCCAGACUCUACGGGAGGCAGCAGUGGGGAAUUUUGGACAAUGGGCGCAAGCCUGAUCCAGCAAUGCCGCGUGAGUGAAGAAGGCCUUCGGGUUGUAAAGCUCUUUCAGUUGAAAAGAAAAAGCCGUGACUAAUAAUCAUGGUUCAUGACGGUAUCAACAGAAGAAGCACCGGCUAACUACGUGCCAGCAGCCGCGGUAAUACGUAGGGUGCAAGCGUUAAUCGGAAUUACUGGGCGUAAAGGGUGCGCAGGCGGUUCUGUAAGUCAGAUGUGAAAUCCCCGGGCUUAACCUGGGAACUGCGUUUGANNACUACAA
This 445-nucleotide ribosomal RNA is filed under the name uncultured Nitrosomonas band6a3. RNAcentral's name for it is "bacterial SSU rRNA". It matches the Rfam family "Bacterial small subunit ribosomal RNA", at positions 199 to 638 of the family's 1533-position model. The record is from RNAcentral. Lineage: Bacteria; Pseudomonadati; Pseudomonadota; Betaproteobacteria; Nitrosomonadales; Nitrosomonadaceae.